CGCGGCGCCGCCUACCUCGCGAGGCUGCGGCUGGGGCAGAAAUCCGUCUCUGUGAGCGGAGGAGGGUGUGCUUAUGCGAGAGCAGGUUUUGGGAGCUCACUAAAGCAGGCUACAUGGUCCAUCUGCAAGUUUUUUCAAAUUGUCACAAAUCUCCAAAAAAUGUUUCAAUAUAUUUAUUGAAAAAAGUCUAUAUAGAAGUGGACCUGCACAGUUCAAACCUGCGCUGCUCAAGAAUCAACUGUAGGCCGGGCGCAGUGGCUCAUGCCUGUAAUCCCAGCACUUUGGGAGGCUGAUGCGGGCGGAUCAUGAGGUCAAGAUAUCAAGACCAUCCUGGCCAACAUGGUGAAACCCUGUCUCUACUAAAAAUACAAAAAUUAGCUGGGCAUGGUGGUGCAUGCCUGUAGUCCCAGCUACUCGGAAGGCUGAGGCAGAAGAAUCACUUGAACCCGGGAGGCGGAGGUUGCAGUGAGCCGAGAUCUCGCCACUGCACUCCAGCCUGGUGACAGAGCAAGACUCCAUCUUAAAAAAAAAAAAAAAAAAUCAACUGUAAAUGAAAAUUCUACAAGUGAAAAAGACAAUAUCUAAAAAUUCAUUGGAUGGGCUUAAAGUAGAUUAGACCAUGAUGAGAUAAGAUCAGUGAAACUUAAGAUGGGUCAAUAAAUAUUAUUCAAACUAGAGUACCAAGAGAAAAAAAUCUGUGGGAUAAUAUCAAGUGGUCUAUUAUACAUGUAAUUAGAAUCUCAGGGCUAGGUGGGAUGGCUCCUGCCUGUAAUCCUAGCACUUUGGAAGGCCAAGGCAGGAGGACUGCUUGAGCUCAAGAGUUUGAGACCAGCCUAGGCAACAUAGGAAGACCCUGUCUCUACAAAAAAAAAUACAAAAAUUAGCCAGGCAUGGUGGCGCACACUUGUAGCCCCAGCUGCUCAGGAGGCUGAGGCAGGAGGAUCACUUAAGCCUGAGAGGUAGUGGUGGG
RNAcentral lists this long non-coding RNA (970 nucleotides) under Homo sapiens (human). RNAcentral's name for it is "HSALNT0291639". Lineage: Eukaryota; Metazoa; Chordata; Mammalia; Primates; Hominidae. The record is from RNAcentral.